GUCUACUUGUCUCGAACGUGAUGCCUAUGCACAUGAUCGUUGCCUUGAAUGUCGUCAUAACUAUGCGCUUUUCUAUCAAUUGCCCAACAGUAAUUUAUUCACCUACCGUAUGCUAUGUGUUCGAGAGAGAAGCUUCUCGUGAAAACAAUGGCCCCGGGUCUACUUUUAACAUAUAUCUUUUCCUAAUCCUAAUCCUAAUCCUAAUCCUAAUCCUAAUAAUAAUAAAGCACCGAUUGAGUCUGCCGGGUUCACCGUCGCGGCACAUUUUAAACAAAGGUCCCUAUGGUUUAUAGGAAUCAACCCACAGUCCACAGCCAAGUGAAAAAAAAAAAUUCAUACGCAGACCUAACUAGCGCGUCGUUGGCAUUGCUGCCCCGCACGAGAAGAGGAGGGUUCCCUCCGCCGCCGCCGCGCCUGCAUCCGUCCUCUCCGCGGUGCCCGUCCUCGCUCCGCCGUUGCCAAAUCGUACGAGAUUGGCAGGAUCCGCCGCAUCUUGCGCGCCGCCGCCGGUGCUUCACCUGUCGCCGGCCUCCUUCCAGUUCCCUUCGUCGCCGAGGACAAGCACGCCAAGUUCCCAUGCCUUUUCCAGCGGUGCUGAUGACGAGUUGUUCCCCAACUGAAGGAACAGAUCAAGGCCAUGGGAUCCAGCCGGUGAGAGUCCCUUGACCGCAUCACCUUGCCGAACACAUGGUGGGGGACAGCAUGGACGAGCUGCUCGUCGGCCAUGCGGGGAACACGGAGGAGCUGCUCGUCGGCAUCCAUCCCGUGCACCCAGCCCCCGCCGACGGUGGCCUCCCAUCACCCUCGACGGCGCGCGCCUCCAGCAUCUCGAGAAUCAUCGCCCACCUCCCUGGGAGAGCUCCUCCUACCCCUGGAGGAGGCGCAUGAGCCGAGCCCGGCCAUCACGCGCCCGUGGCCAACAACAACCUCCAGGUUGCAUCAGCGUUCGGUGGCAUGGGCAUGCUCUCCACUCAUUGAUUUUUGUAUGGAAGAUUUUUCUGAGUGGGGGCAACGCCCAUGGGUGCUGUGUAGGAGUCACUGAAAAAAUAGCGCGCUAUAGCGUAUUGAGAAUUGUCUCGCUAAAUAUAUUAAUGUACAAUGUCUCGCUAAUAGCACGCUAUAGCGCGAUAUAACACGCUGAUAGCGUAUUUUGAGGUCGGCGCUAUUUUACUGUAGCGCGCUAUUUUUUUUCAUUGGUAGGAGUACAUGUUCAAGACAAUCAACAGCUUCUUUGAUGACUUCCUCACCUAAUGGUCAGGUACAAUUUUGCGACCGUGAAUAGAUGUCUAAUAGGUUUGUUGGCUACUUCUGAAUGUUCAUAAUCUGUAAAACCAUUCAAAUUUACUAUGAUUUUGCUUGAACAGGGGCGCCGCCGUAUGAGGAAUGACACUUUGUGGCUAGCAGUGGCGAUGACCACCACUGGACACGAGGGAUCAACAUGCUGACGGCACGAGCUCAUCCUCGGAGUUAACUUCCACCACUUUCACUAAUUUGGACUCACUUCUCUUCGGUCCAAAUAUUUGGACUCUCAGUUAACUUCCUGCUUUUCAGAAGUUUAAUUUAGUUCCACCAUUUGUAAUUCUUCAGCAACAGUUAGUCGUCGGCCGUGAGGCGGUUAGAGAACAUGGUGACUGUAGCAUAAGCUACACAGCCGGUUUUUGCGCCCGAUCACCUGCCUUGCUACUUGUGCGUGAUUAUGAUCUGAUUUGUAUGCAACUCUGACAUGUGAAAAUAAUGAAGCUGCCAGCUGGUUCUUUGCAAGUUCCAGAGAGCUUUUGUGUUCGUUUUAAUUUUGAUAGAAAUUUGGUUUUCAGUUCUUGGAUGUAUAGCUCAUCUACUGUAGCAGUUAUCUUUUGUUAACUGGAACAGUUAACUUCAUUGUUACUGUAGUGGGUUGCUAUUAUAAAUUGAGAAAAAAAAUAACUGAUGCAGUUAGCUGUGAGAUGCAGUUCUCGUUGGAAAUUGAUGGUCCCGUUAGCUUUAAAAAAACCAGAAAGUUUAAUUUGCAUUUUACAAAACAAUUCAUUUUUGAUGGUCCAGUUAGCUUUAGAAAAAACUGAGGGACGUUGUGCAGUUUGUUUUUCUUUUGCUGAGAAAAUGUAGUAGUUAGAUGAGCACUCCCGCCAUGGUUGUAGGAAUAGAGAAAUGUAGCAGUUACGAGUUUAUUUGUCUUUGUUGCUUCGGGCCACAAGAGAAAAACUGUGAAAAAUUGUUGUAGCAGUUAACAUGUAAAAAUGUCACAGUUAAUGUGUGAGAGAAAAGUUACCGUGUUACAGAAAGAGGAAAAUAUUUGUUGUACCAGAAGUUAACUAUUCAAUUUACCAGUAGUUUUUUUGCAGAGGUAAUUUAGCAGCAAAAUUAGCAUCGUUUUUCUUCAGUCCACUUUUUGUGUGCGUUCAAUCAUGUAUCGUCGUCUCUAUUUGGCAUGAUUUGCAGCGAGUUUCUUCAGUGUCUAUUUUUAUUCCAGUGCCUUGUUCUUUCUGGCAAGACAGUGCUUGUGUUAAUGCCUAUGGUAGAUUAGCAUGUAUUAUGAUUAAGAACUACAAUUGAUCAGCAUAUUGAGUAAGCAAGAUGGUCGGCAAUCAAACUGAGUGCUAGCAUUAAGCUUGAAUCCUGGUCGUUCCUUCUCCCCUUCUCUGUUUUGCUAUGGUCUGAAUAUUCUGAAUUUUGAAUACUUGCAGGUACCUUCUGAACUGAACUUUGAACACUUGCAUGUGGAUUCUGAACUGAAGUUUGAAGGCAUGCAGGCAACUUUAUUUCAAGCAUCGGGUUGUCUUGGGACCCGACACCGAUGAGGUCGGAGACGAUGGUUCAUGGCGGAGGCCGUCGACAACGGCCAGGACACCAGAAAAAACCAGCGCGUCUCCCUCGCGCGAGUGUUGAAUCAGUCGUGUGAAAAUUCUGCGUGACAUUUGUAUGCCCAAUAUGUGCCCGGGCACCGCCACUGCUCCGUGCCUGCCACAACGUCAGCCGCCACUAGCCCUCCCGUUUCUGCAUUGUCUCCACCACGGGCGUGGUAGCCCGUGCAGCCACCUCAAGCGUCCUCCAUCGCCCAUGCCUAUGUCCCCUGUGUGACGCGGGAUCCGCCUCAUCGGGCGAGGAAACCGGCACCUCGGCUGCCAUCUCACACAUGUCGGCAUGCACCUGGGUGUGCGGUGAGAAUGAUGCAUUUUCCCAACAGGACAUCUUUCUUUAGCAAACUUUAUGUUUUUACAAGGAUAGUUUGCAAGAUAGUGGUACUAUCGUAACGUAUUGUAGUGUCUUCUGGUGACAUGGUUUUUAGUAGCCAUGGUGACAUCAGGUGAUCCUUAUGAGCAGAACUACCAUGACAAGCAUACGGGUCAAUAGAAUCGAGAAAGUUGCAUUUUAUUUGCUCUAUUAAAAAAUGGAUUCAAUUUCAAUGAAAA
Aegilops tauschii subsp. strangulata is the source of this 3407-nucleotide non-coding RNA. The record is from RefSeq and is a predicted model, not a curated record. NCBI's taxonomy places the organism in Eukaryota, Viridiplantae, Streptophyta, Magnoliopsida, Poales, Poaceae.